RNAcentral lists this ribosomal RNA (372 nucleotides) under Mourgona germaineae. RNAcentral describes it as "partial small subunit ribosomal RNA". It matches the Rfam family "Bacterial large subunit ribosomal RNA", at positions 1817 to 2531 of the family's 2925-position model. Lineage: Eukaryota; Metazoa; Mollusca; Gastropoda; Caliphyllidae. The record is from RNAcentral.
AGCCUAGGGAGACAUCCUAGGUGAAACCUGCCCAGUGCUUUUGUCAACGGCCGCAGUAUCUUGACUGUGCUAAGGUAGCAAAAUAAUUUGGCUUUUAAAUGGAGUCGGGAAUGAAUGGAUUAAUGGGGUACAGCUGUCUCGCCCAUAUUUAGUUUAAUUUACUUACUAGGUGAAAACGCCUAGGUGCUUAGAAAAAAGACGAGAAGACCCUAGGAGUUUUGACAAAACUAUACUUUAGUAUUGUGCGUUUUUGUUGGGGCGACAUUGAAGUAAGUCUAGCAACCUUCAUUUUACUAUCUGCCGACUUCGUAUGAGAAAUUAAACUACCCUAGGGAUAACAGCGUAAUUUUUAAAAAGCUUGCGACCUCGAUG